UGGGGAAUAUUGCACAAUGGGCGAAAGCCUGAUGCAGCGACGCCGCGUGAGGGAUGACGCCUUCGGGUUGUAAACCUCUUUCAGCAGGGACGAAGCGCAAGUGACGUACCUGCAGAAGAAGCACCGGCUACUACGUGC
RNAcentral lists this ribosomal RNA (138 nucleotides) under uncultured bacterium. RNAcentral's name for it is "partial 16S ribosomal RNA". It matches the Rfam family "Bacterial small subunit ribosomal RNA", at positions 355 to 508 of the family's 1533-position model. The record is from RNAcentral.